RNAcentral lists this transfer RNA (30 nucleotides) under Aspalathus crenata. Its description in RNAcentral is "partial tRNA-His". Lineage: Eukaryota; Viridiplantae; Streptophyta; Magnoliopsida; Fabales; Fabaceae. The record is from RNAcentral.
GGCGGAUGUAGCCAAGUGGAUCAAGGCAGA